GAUGAAGAACGUAGCGAAAUGCGAUAAGUAAUGUGAAUUGCAGAAUUCAGUGAAUCAUCGAAUCUUUGAACGCACCUUGCGCCCUUUGGCUAUUCCGAAGGGCAUGCCUGUUUGAGUAUCAUGAACACCUCAACUCUCAUGGUUUGCCAUGAUGAGCUUGGACUCUGGGGGUCUUGCUGGCCUAUGGUCAGCUCCUCUCAAAUAAAUCAGCUUGCCAGUGUUUGGUGGCAUCACAGGUGUGAUAACUAUCUACGCUUGUGGUUUUCCAUCAGGUAACCUUCAGUGAUGGAGGUUCGCUGGAGCUCAUAAAUGUCCCUCCUCAGCGAGGACAGCUUUUUGAACGUUUGAUCUCAAAUCAGGUAGGACUACCCGCUGAACUUAAGCAUAUCAAAAGCGGAGGA
RNAcentral lists this unclassified non-coding RNA (401 nucleotides) under soil metagenome. RNAcentral describes it as "partial contains 5.8S ribosomal RNA, internal transcribed spacer 2, and large subunit ribosomal RNA". The stretch from base 1 to 121 matches the Rfam family "5.8S ribosomal RNA", at positions 35 to 154 of the family's 154-position model. The record is from RNAcentral.